Molecule: ribosomal RNA, 398 nt
Filed under: uncultured bacterium
Lineage: Bacteria
Description: bacterial SSU rRNA
Rfam family: Bacterial small subunit ribosomal RNA
Source: RNAcentral
GACGAACGCUGGCGGCGUGCCUAACACAUGCAAGUCGAGCGAGAAAGUGGGAGCAAUCCCAUGAGUACAGCGGCGACCGGGUGAGUAACACGUGGGCAACCUGCCCUCAGCUUCGGGAUAACACUUGGAAACAGGUGCUAAUACCGGAUAACAACUUGUCAUCGCAUGGUGGUGGGUUCAAAGUUUUUCGGCUGAGGAUGGGCCCGCGGCCUAUCAGCUUGUUGGGGGGUAAUGGCCUACCAAGGCGACGACGGGUAGCCGGCCUGAGAGGGCGACCGGCCACACUGGGACUGAGACACGGCCCAGACUCCUACGGGAGGCAGCAGUGGGGAAUAUUGCGCAAUGGACGAAAGUCUGACGCAGCAACGCCGCGUGAGGGAUGACGGCCUCGGUGUAAC